RNAcentral lists this ribosomal RNA (398 nucleotides) under uncultured prokaryote. RNAcentral's name for it is "bacterial SSU rRNA". It matches the Rfam family "Bacterial small subunit ribosomal RNA", at positions 355 to 770 of the family's 1533-position model. The record is from RNAcentral.
UGGGGAAUCUUGGACAAUGGGGGAAACCCUGAUCCAGCCAUGCCGCGUGAGUGAUGAAGGCCUUAGGGUCGUAAAGCUCUUUCACCGGUGAAGAUAAUGACGGUAGCCGGAGAAGAAGCCCCGGCUAACUCCGUGCCAGCAGCCGCGGUAAUACGGAGGGGGCUAGCGUUGUUCGGAAUUACUGGGCGUAAAGCGCGCGUAGGCGGGCUGUUAAGUCGAGGGUGAAAUCCCGGGGCUCAACCCCGGAACUGCCUCCGAUACUGGCAGCCUAGAGGUCGGAAGAGGUCAGUGGAAUGGCGAGUGUAGAGGUGAAAUUCGUAGAUAUUCGCCGGAACACCAGUGGCGAAGGCGACUGACUGGCUCGAUACUGACGCUGAGGUGCGAAAGCGUGGGGAGCA